RNAcentral lists this ribosomal RNA (139 nucleotides) under uncultured eukaryote. RNAcentral's name for it is "partial 18S ribosomal RNA". It matches the Rfam family "Eukaryotic small subunit ribosomal RNA", at positions 1299 to 1458 of the family's 1831-position model. The record is from RNAcentral.
UGGUGGAGUGAUUUGUCUGGUUAAUUCCGAUGACGAACGAGACCUUAACCUGCUAACUAGGGGUUGUGGAUUUUACUUCCACGCUCUCUUCUUAGAGGGACUGUUGGUGCCUAACUAAAGGAAGUUUGAGGCAAUAACA